This 1229-nucleotide long non-coding RNA is filed under the name Salmo salar (Atlantic salmon). RNAcentral's name for it is "lncRNA (ENSSSAG00000098814.1)". Lineage: Eukaryota; Metazoa; Chordata; Actinopteri; Salmoniformes; Salmonidae. The record is from RNAcentral.
GGGUAGUUGUUUUCUGUCUUGUGUUUUUCACUUGACAGAACUGUUGGCUUUCGUUUUUGUUUCUUUGUUUAACCUGUUAGGGCUAGGGGGCAGUAUUGACACGGCCGGAUAAAAAACGUACCCGAUUUAAUCUGGUUACUACUCCUGCCCAGUAACUAGAAUAUGCAUGUAAUUAUUGGCUUUGGAUAGAAUGGUGUCUGUGAGUAUAACAGAACUCAUAUGGCAGGAAAAAACCUGAGAAGAUUCCAAACAGGAAGCGCCCUCUCUGACAAGUUGUUGUUCAUCUUGGCUCUUUUUAUUGAAGACUGAGGAUCUUUGCCGUAACAUGACACUUCCUACGGCUCCCAUAGGCUCUCAGAACCCGUGAAAAAGCUGAAUGAUAUCGAGGCAGCCUCUGGCUGAAACACAUUAUCGCAUUUGAAUAGUGGCUGGUCAGAGUAUGUAUUUAUUUUCUCUCUCUUUGUACGUAUACAGGCUUUCCCGGUCAGAAUAUUAUCGCUUUUUUAUGAGAAAAAUGGCCUAAAAAUUGAUUUUAAACAGCGGUUGACAUGCUUCAAAGUACGGUAAUGGAAUAUUUAGAAUUUUUUUGUCACGAAAUGCGCCAUGCUCGUCACCCUUAUUUACCCUUUCGGAUAGUGUCUUGAACGCACGAACAAAACGCCGCUAUUUGGAUAUAACAAUGGAUUAUUUGGGACCAAACCAACAUUUGUUAUUGAAGUAGAAGUCCUGGGACUGCAUUCUGACGAAGAACAGCAAAGAUGAUUGUUACAGAACUACCCACCACAACUGGGUCAAGCAGCGUGCUCGGGAGGAGAUGGACACCUGGUCUCAUCAGGAGUGGAUUGGGAGGAGAGACUGGACUUGGAGCCAGGUGAUCGACAGAUAUCGGAGCCUACCCGGGAAGAAUGAGAGGCAGCCCCAAAACAUUUUUUUGGGGGGCACACGGGUAGUUUGGCUGGACCAGGGGUGAGGCCUGAGUCAACUACCCGUGCUUUUUGCGGUAAGCAGGUGCCUGCCUCUCGCACUCUCUCUCCAGUGCACCUGCCCAGCCCAGUACGUCCUGUGCCUGCUCCCAGAGCCAGGCCUCCUGCAUGUCUCCCCAGCCUGGUGAGUCCUGUGCCAGCUCCUAGAGCCAGGCCUCCUGCAUGUCUCCCCAGCCUGGUGAAUCCUGUGCCUGCGCCCAGAGCCAGGCCUACUGCAAGUCCCAUCAGUCCGGAGCCGCCAGAGCC